AUGCCUGCAUAAUUUUCUUCUAUUUCAUUGUCAGCUUGCCAAAUGGGGUUGCACCGUACCGCUCCAAUGUCCGUCGUGCGGUUUUAAAUGCGGGGAGUAUGAGGACAUCGGUCAUAUUUUUUUGCAGUGCCCGUUUGCAGUUCAGGUGUGGGCUUUAACUGGUAUUGGUCCUUCUUCGCUAUCUUUUUCUCUGUGGUUAUCGUCCUUAUUGCUUAAUGUCGACGACACCCUCUUGAAAAGAACUGUUGACUUUAUGAAGCUUAUGGUAUUAGUGAAACCUAUUUCUUUGGCGUGCGGGUGAUGCCUCGGCAUGUUGUGUUGUGGCGUUCGCUUCUCGUUUUAUCCAGGACUGGGAUGCUUCUAGUGCUGCUCACCGUCGGGUUUUGUUUGAGACUUUGCCGCCAGGCUCUACUGCAGCUGUUGCAUGGGUUCGGC
Molecule: long non-coding RNA, 435 nt
Filed under: Gossypium barbadense (sea-island cotton)
Lineage: Eukaryota; Viridiplantae; Streptophyta; Magnoliopsida; Malvales; Malvaceae
Description: long non-coding RNA (GBAR_LNC010862)
Source: RNAcentral